UACGUAGGGGGCUAGCGUUGUCCGGAAUCAUUGGGCGUAAGAGCGUGUAGGCGGCCCGGUAAGUCCGCUGUGAAAGUCGGGGGCUCAACCCUCGAAUGCCGGUGGAUACUGUCGGGCUAGAGUGCGGAAGAGGCGAGUGGAAUUCCUGGUGUAGCGGUGAAAUGCGCAGAUAUCAGGAGGAACACCGAUUGCGAAGGCAGCUCGCUGGGACGUUACUGACGCUGAGACGCGAAAGCGUGGGGAGCAAACAGG
Molecule: ribosomal RNA, 252 nt
Filed under: uncultured bacterium
Lineage: Bacteria
Description: partial 16S ribosomal RNA
Rfam family: Bacterial small subunit ribosomal RNA
Source: RNAcentral